This 468-nucleotide ribosomal RNA is filed under the name uncultured bacterium. RNAcentral describes it as "partial 16S ribosomal RNA". It matches the Rfam family "Bacterial small subunit ribosomal RNA", at positions 28 to 507 of the family's 1533-position model. The record is from RNAcentral.
GACGAACGCUGGCGGCGUGCUUAACACAUGCAAGUCGAACGGAAAGGCCCUGCUUUUGUGGGGUGCUCGAGUGGCGAACGGGUGAGUAACACGUGAGUAACCUGCCCUUGACUUUGGGAUAACUUCAGGAAACUGGGGCUAAUACCGGAUAGGAGCUCCUGCUGCAUGGUGGGGGUUGGAAAGUUUCGGCGGUUGGGGAUGGACUCGCGGCUUAUCAGCUUGUUGGUGGGGUAGUGGCUUACCAAGGCUUUGACGGGUAGCCGGCCUGAGAAGGUGACCGGCCACAUUGGGACUGAGAUACGGCCCAGACUCCUACGGGAGGCAGCGGUGGGGAAUAUUGCACAAUGGGCGGAAGCCUGAUGCAGCAACGCCGCGUGCGGGAUGACGGCCUUCGGGUUGUAAACCGCUUUCGCCUGUGACGAAGCGUGAGUGACGGUAAUGGGUAAAGAAGCACCGGCUAACUACGUG